AUGUGUAUACCAAAAAAAGGUGGAAUGGGCUUUAGGGAUAUUCAGUGCUUUAAUCUUGCACUCUUGGCAAAACAAGCAUGGAGACUUAUCGAGAACCCGGAUUCUCUAUGUGCAAAGAUCCUCAAAGCAAAGUACUACCCUAAUGAUGACUUGCUGAGUGUUACUCUAAAAAAGAAAUAUUCGUAUACUUGGCAAAGCAUAAUUGCAGGAGUG
This 213-nucleotide ribosomal RNA is filed under the name Triticum aestivum (bread wheat). RNAcentral describes it as "partial small subunit ribosomal RNA". Lineage: Eukaryota; Viridiplantae; Streptophyta; Magnoliopsida; Poales; Poaceae. The record is from RNAcentral.